RNAcentral lists this ribosomal RNA (854 nucleotides) under Salmonella enterica. RNAcentral's name for it is "partial 23S ribosomal RNA". It matches the Rfam family "Bacterial large subunit ribosomal RNA", at positions 830 to 1598 of the family's 2925-position model. The record is from RNAcentral. RNAcentral also lists the same sequence under 1 other name. Lineage: Bacteria; Pseudomonadati; Pseudomonadota; Gammaproteobacteria; Enterobacterales; Enterobacteriaceae.
CAAUCAAACCGGGAGAUAGCUGGUUCUCCCCGAAAGCUAUUUAGGUAGCGCCUCGUGAAUUCAUCUCCGGGGGUAGAGCACUGUUUCGGCUAGGGGGCCAUCCCGGCUUACCAACCCGAUGCAAACUGCGAAUACCGGAGAAUGUUAUCACGGGAGACACACGGCGGGUGCUAACGUCCGUCGUGAAGAGGGAAACAACCCAGACCGCCAGCUAAGGUCCCAAAGUCAUGGUUAAGUGGGAAACGAUGUGGGAAGGCCCAGACAGCCAGGAUGUUGGCUUAGAAGCAGCCAUCAUUUAAAGAAAGCGUAAUAGCUCACUGGUCGAGUCGGCCUGCGCGGAAGAUGUAACGGGGCUAAACCAUGCACCGAAGCUGCGGCAGCGAACGUAUCACCCAAGACAACUUUACGGAGUUGACGAUUGACGGAGCGAAGCGACGUCAAAGCGUUCAUUAAAGUCGAGUUGGCUUAGGGAUACGUUCGUUGGGUAGGGGAGCGUUCUGUAAGCCUGUGAAGGUGUGUCGUGAGGCAUGCUGGAGGUAUCAGAAGUGCGAAUGCUGACAUAAGUAACGAUAAAGCGGGUGAAAAGCCCGCUCGCCGGAAGACCAAGGGUUCCUGUCCAACGUUAAUCGGGGCAGGGUGAGUCGACCCCUAAGGCGAGGCCGAAAGGCGUAGUCGAUGGGAAACGGGUUAAUAUUCCCGUACUUGGUGUUACUGCGAAGGGGGGACGGAGAAGGCUAUGUUGGCCGGGCGACGGUUGUCCCGGUUUAAGCGUGUAGGUGUGUGUUCCAGGUAAAUCCGGUUCACUUUAACACUGAGGCGUGACGACGAGGCACUACGGUGCUGAAGCAACAAAU